GAUUGCAGUCUGCAACUCGACUGCAUGAAGCCGGAAUCGCUAGUAAUCGCGGAUCAGAAUGCCGCGGUGAAUACGUUCCCGGGUCUUGUACACACCGCCCGUCACACCAUGGGAGUCGGAAAUGCCCGAAGCCGGUGGCCUAACCCAUAAGGGAGGAGCCGUCGAAGGCAGGUCUGAUGACUGGGGUGAAGUCGUAACAAGGUAGC
Molecule: ribosomal RNA, 206 nt
Filed under: uncultured bacterium
Lineage: Bacteria
Description: partial 16S ribosomal RNA
Rfam family: Bacterial small subunit ribosomal RNA
Source: RNAcentral